CAAUCUAGAGAGGGCUGUAGAGCAGGGGUCAACAACAGGUCAAUCUAGAGAGAGGUGUAGAGCAGGGGUCACCAACAGGUCAAUCUAGAGAGAGGUGUAGAGCAGGGGUCACCAACAGGUCAAUCUAGAGAGAGGUGUAGAGCAGGGGUCACCAACAGGUCAAUCUAGAGAGAGGUGUAGAGCAGGGGUCACCAACAGGUCAGGGGUCACCAACAGGUCAAUCUAGAGAGAGGUGUAGAGCAGGGGUCACCAACAGGUCAAUCUAGAGAGAGGUGUAGAGCAGGGGUCACCAACAGGUCAAUCUAGAGAGAGGUGUAGAGCAGGGGUCACCAACAGGUCAAUCUAGAGAGGGCUGUAGAGCAGGGGUCACCAACAGGUCAAUCUAGAGAGAGGUGUAGAGCAGGGGUCAACAACAGGUCAAUCUAGAGAGAGGUGUAGAGCAGGGGUCACCAACAGGUCAAUCUAGAGAGGGCUGUAGAGCAGGGGUCACCAACAGGUCAAUCUAGAGAGAGGUGUAGAGCAGGGGUCACCAACAGGUCAAUCUAGAGAGGGCUGUAGAGCAGGGGUCACCAACAGGUCAGGGGUCACCAACAGGUCAAUCUAGAGAGGGCUGUAGAGCAGGGGUCACCAACAGGUCAAUCUAGAGAGAGGUGUAGAGCAGGGGUCACCAACAGGUCAAUCUAGAGUGGGCUAUAGAGCAGGGGUCACCAACAGGUCAAUCUAGAGAGAGGUGUAGAGCAGGGGUCAACAACAGGUCAGGGGUCAACAACAGGUCAAUCUAGAGAAGGCUGUAGAUCAGGGGUCAACAACAGGUCAGGGGUCACCAACAGGUCAAUCUAGAGAGAGGUGUAGAGCAGGGGUCACCAACAGGUCAAUCUAGAGAGAGGUGUAGAUCAGGGGUCACUAACAGGUCAAUCUAGAGAGAGGUGUAGAGCAGGGGUCACCAACAGGUCAAUCUAGAGAGAGGUGUAGAUCAGGGGUCAC
Oncorhynchus keta (chum salmon) is the source of this 984-nucleotide long non-coding RNA. RefSeq lists it as uncharacterized. NCBI's taxonomy places the organism in Eukaryota, Metazoa, Chordata, Actinopteri, Salmoniformes, Salmonidae. The transcript is spliced from 3 exons. The record is from RefSeq and is a predicted model, not a curated record.